This 3004-nucleotide ribosomal RNA is filed under the name Salmonella enterica subsp. enterica serovar Thompson. RNAcentral describes it as "bacterial LSU rRNA". It matches the Rfam family "Bacterial large subunit ribosomal RNA". The record is from RNAcentral. Lineage: Bacteria; Pseudomonadati; Pseudomonadota; Gammaproteobacteria; Enterobacterales; Enterobacteriaceae.
UUAAGCGACUAAGCGUACACGGUGGAUGCCCUGGCAGUCAGAGGCGAUGAAGGGCGUGCUAAUCUGCGAUAAGCGCCGGUAAGGUGAUAUGAACCGUUAUAACCGGCGAUACCCGAAUGGGGAAACCCAGUGUGACUCGUCACACUAUCAUUAACUGAAUCCAUAGGUUAAUGAGGCGAACCGGGGGAACUGAAACAUCUAAGUACCCCGAGGAAAAGAAAUCAACCGAGAUUCCCCCAGUAGCGGCGAGCGAACGGGGAGGAGCCCAGAGCCUGAAUCAGCAUGUGUGUUAGUGGAAGCGUCUGGAAAGGCGCGCGAUACAGGGUGACAGCCCCGUACACAAAAGCGCAUGUGCUGUGAGCUCGAUGAGUAGGGCGGGACACGUGGUAUCCUGUCUGAAUAUGGGGGGACCAUCCUCCAAGGCUAAAUACUCCUGACUGACCGAUAGUGAACCAGUACCGUGAGGGAAAGGCGAAAAGAACCCCGGCGAGGGGAGUGAAAAAGAACCUGAAACCGUGUACGUACAAGCAGUGGGAGCCCCACCACUAAGCCAGUGGUGAACUCCACAUACGCAUCCUUUGCUGAAGGCAAUGGUUAACGGAGCGAAAGCGACGUUCAACCGCAAAACAAGCAGAGGGGGCUUAGUGGUGGGGUGACUGCGUACCUUUUGUAUAAUGGGUCAGCGACUUAUAUUCUGUAGCAAGGUUAACCGUAUAGGGGAGCCGGAGGGAAACCGAGUCUUAAUUGGGCGUUAAGUUGCAGGGUAUAGACCCGAAACCCGGUGAUCUAGCCAUGGGCAGGUUGAAGGUUGGGUAACACUAACUGGAGGACCGAACCGACUAAUGUUGAAAAAUUAGCGGAUGACCUGUGGCUGGGGGUGAAAGGCCAAUCAAACCGGGAGAUAGCUGGUUCUCCCCGAAAGCUAUUUAGGUAGCGCCUCGUGAAUUCAUCUCCGGGGGUAGAGCACUGUUUCGGCUAGGGGGCCAUCCCGGCUUACCAACCCGAUGCAAACUGCGAAUACCGGAGAAUGUUAUCACGGGAGACACACGGCGGGUGCUAACGUCCGUCGUGAAGAGGGAAACAACCCAGACCGCCAGCUAAGGUCCCAAAGUCAUGGUUAAGUGGGAAACGAUGUGGGAAGGCCCAGACAGCCAGGAUGUUGGCUUAGAAGCAGCCAUCAUUUAAAGAAAGCGUAAUAGCUCACUGGUCGAGUCGGCCUGCGCGGAAGAUGUAACGGGGCUAAACCAUGCACCGAAGCUGCGGCAGCGACGCUUAUGCGUUGUUGGGUAGGGGAGCGUUCUGUAAGCCUGCGAAGGUGGCCUGUGAGGGUUGCUGGAGGUAUCAGAAGUGCGAAUGCUGACAUAAGUAACGAUAAAGCGGGUGAAAAGCCCGCUCGCCGGAAGACCAAGGGUUCCUGUCCAACGUUAAUCGGGGCAGGGUGAGUCGACCCCUAAGGCGAGGCCGAAAGGCGUAGUCGAUGGGAAACAGGUUAAUAUUCCUGUACUUGGUGUUACUGCGAAGGGGGGACGGAGAAGGCUAUGUUGGCCGGGCGACGGUUGUCCCGGUUAAGCGUGUAGGUGUGUGUUCCAGGUAAAUCCGGUUCACUUUAACACUGAGGCGUGACGACGAGGCACUACGGUGCUGAAGCAACAAAUGCCCUGCUUCCAGGAAAAGCCUCUAAGCAUCAGGUAACAUCAAAUCGUACCCCAAACCGACACAGGUGGUCAGGUAGAGAAUACCAAGGCGCUUGAGAGAACUCGGGUGAAGGAACUAGGCAAAAUGGUGCCGUAACUUCGGGAGAAGGCACGCUGACACGUAGGUGAAGUGAUUUACUCAUGGAGCUGAAGUCAGUCGAAGAUACCAGCUGGCUGCAACUGUUUAUUAAAAACACAGCACUGUGCAAACACGAAAGUGGACGUAUACGGUGUGACGCCUGCCCGGUGCCGGAAGGUUAAUUGAUGGGUCAGCGCAAGCGAAGCUCCUGAUCGAAGCCCCGGUAAACGGCGGCCGUAACUAUAACGGUCCUAAGGUAGCGAAAUUCCUUGUCGGGUAAGUUCCGACCUGCACGAAUGGCGUAAUGAUGGCCAGGCUGUCUCCACCCGAGACUCAGUGAAAUUGAACUCGCUGUGAAGAUGCAGUGUACCCGCGGCAAGACGGAAAGACCCCGUGAACCUUUACUAUAGCUUGACACUGAACAUUGAGCCUUGAUGUGUAGGAUAGGUGGGAGGCUUUGAAGCGUGGACGCCAGUCUGCGUGGAGCCGACCUUGAAAUACCACCCUUUAAUGUUUGAUGUUCUAACGUGGACCCGUAAUCCGGGUUGCGGACAGUGUCUGGUGGGUAGUUUGACUGGGGCGGUCUCCUCCUAAAGAGUAACGGAGGAGCACGAAGGUUGGCUAAUCCUGGUCGGACAUCAGGAGGUUAGUGCAAUGGCAUAAGCCAGCUUGACUGCGAGCGUGACGGCGCGAGCAGGUGCGAAAGCAGGUCAUAGUGAUCCGGUGGUUCUGAAUGGAAGGGCCAUCGCUCAACGGAUAAAAGGUACUCCGGGGAUAACAGGCUGAUACCGCCCAAGAGUUCAUAUCGACGGCGGUGUUUGGCACCUCGAUGUCGGCUCAUCACAUCCUGGGGCUGAAGUAGGUCCCAAGGGUAUGGCUGUUCGCCAUUUAAAGUGGUACGCGAGCUGGGUUUAGAACGUCGUGAGACAGUUCGGUCCCUAUCUGCCGUGGGCGCUGGAGAACUGAGGGGGGCUGCUCCUAGUACGAGAGGACCGGAGUGGACGCAUCACUGGUGUUCGGGUUGUCAUGCCAAUGGCACUGCCCGGUAGCUAAAUGCGGAAGAGAUAAGUGCUGAAAGCAUCUAAGCACGAAACUUGCCCCGAGAUGAGUUCUCCCUGAGACUUAGAGUCUCCUGAAGGAACGUUGAAGACGACGACGUUGAUAGGCCGGGUGUGUAAGCGCAGCGAUGCGUUGAGCUAACCGGUACUAAUGAACCGUGAGGCUUAACCUU